RNAcentral lists this long non-coding RNA (952 nucleotides) under Salvia miltiorrhiza (redroot sage). RNAcentral describes it as "long non-coding RNA (SMIL_LNC009356)". Lineage: Eukaryota; Viridiplantae; Streptophyta; Magnoliopsida; Lamiales; Lamiaceae. The record is from RNAcentral.
UUAUGACUUGGGGUGAACAAUAAGAAAUGGAAAUGGACAAUUACUUAACAUUAAAGUAUAUGGAAAUGUCACUCAUAGAUAAAAUGCUAGGAUCAUAUAUGAUUAUUUGGAUACUUAUAAAACAUACACUUAAAUGAGAACUGAUUAAGGUGGGUUACCCAAUAACAUGUAUCACAACUUCAUAACAUAGAGCUAUCCUAAUCAAAGUGUUUUGCAGCGGAAAACGUGUGAGAUAUACAUAUGAAGAUGUAUACUCAAGGUUACAUUUCUUGAAAUGUCAAAGGGACACCCGCUCAACAUCAUUCCAUUCCAUCAGUUGCUCAACCUGCACAUUUAGAAAUACAUGCAGGGCUGAGUAUAAAAAUACUCAGUGGGCACGUAUGCCUAGGUAUAAAAAUACAUGCUUCAAAACUGUAAAUUGUCAUGCCAUCAUAAACAGUACAACAAGGGAGUUUUUCGCUAAAAAGGCCCAAGCUUACUAAGUUCAUUUGUGAUUCUUAAAGUUCGUCUGCAGACUAAGUUCUCUUGUAAUCUAUCAUAUCUGGAACUGUGUGCCGGAGAGGUGGCCACCUCUCACGGUCACUUGACCGGCCAACCCGCUAGAUGACUCACGGUCACUGGUGUACACUAGCCCUGGCAGGAUAGCUAUCAACUGCUCAGGACCCGAAUUCGAUUGCAUCAUUGGCAAAGCCAAAGCAGAUAGAUAUCAUACUAAAAUUUAAACAUUUUAUGGCAAGACAAUACUUGAAAUAACUUUAACUCAAAUAUUUUGUAACGAAAUAACUUGCUCAAAUGUAACAUUAAACUCAUUUGAUAGGUAUAUAAAACUGAAAUUAACAGUUAAAUCAUCUCAUGCAUUCAUUCGUAUAAGAGGCCUACGACACGCAGGGGAUCUCUAUAUACGUAUAGUAAAAGUAAUGCCCACCUGAUUAGGCAAAGCCUGAAGAUCAUA